Long non-coding RNA from Pseudopipra pipra, 379 nucleotides. RefSeq lists it as uncharacterized. The transcript has 2 exons. NCBI's taxonomy places the organism in Eukaryota, Metazoa, Chordata, Aves, Passeriformes, Pipridae. The record is from RefSeq and is a predicted model, not a curated record.
UCUCUGUGAGUGAAUUUGGGCCUCAGCAAAGCAAGCACAGGUUUCAAAAUGCUUUUUCUACCCCACCAGAGAAAUGAAUGAGUCAUCUCGACCCAAUGAUAGCCACGAAGGUGCUCCCAUGUUGAUUGCAACAAAAAGGGACAACUGUGGAGUCUCAGAAAGCACAGAUAUUUUAAAAGAUCAACUUUUGCCUGUGUUUGGAUACUUCUGAGAUAUUUUCAUGAAGAAGUUAAGAGCAGCACUUGCCUGAAAGUACAAGGAAUGAGCUGCAGGACAGCACAGACACAGCAAGUUCCAUUUUCAUAUGGAUUUAUUACCUUGUUAUCAGACAGGUCUGGAGCCAAAGAUAUGGCUUAGAGCUUAUAAAAGCAAAUUGCUU